UGCGCAGGCGGUUAUGUAAGACAGAUGUGAAAUCCCCGGGCUCAACCUGGGAACUGCAUUUGUGACUGCAUGGCUAGAGUACGGUAGAGGGGGAUGGAAUUCCGCGUGUAGCAGUGAAAUGCGUAGAUAUGCGGAGGAACACCGAUGGCGAAGGCAAUCCCCUGGACCUGUACUGACGCUCAUGCACGAAAGCGUGAGGAGCAAACA
RNAcentral lists this ribosomal RNA (207 nucleotides) under uncultured bacterium. RNAcentral describes it as "partial 16S ribosomal RNA". It matches the Rfam family "Bacterial small subunit ribosomal RNA", at positions 568 to 774 of the family's 1533-position model. The record is from RNAcentral.